Molecule: long non-coding RNA, 939 nt
Filed under: Calidris pugnax (ruff)
Lineage: Eukaryota; Metazoa; Chordata; Aves; Charadriiformes; Scolopacidae
Description: lncRNA (ENSCPUG00000016244.1)
Source: RNAcentral
AAAAAAGAAAAAAAAAGAAAAGAAAAACAACAACAACAAAAAAAACCCCAACAAAACACAAAAGCCAGCAAAGCCGAGCGCUGUCUUUCCCCCAUCUCCCUCCUUUUUGGAACAAGCUGGCGGGUUUGCAGAAGGGUGUUUUAAGCAGGAGCAGAUGCCGGCGUUCCUCGGGCUGGGAGGGGCGAGCCGAGCCCAGGAGGGAUGCGGAGAUAGAAAACAGAUUGCAGCAAAUAUUUGUGUUUAUAAUUGCUGCGCAGGCCGGUGGUGCGAGGGGCGCUGGGAGCCAGCUCUUGCGCAUCCGGUGCCUUGAAAUAUGGGAACCAGAAGUCCUGAGGGUUCCUGAUCCACAGAGGUGAGGCUCUGGACGCACAGGGGGAGGACAGUCCCCGUCCCGCAGCGCUGGCUCCCCACGUACCAUGGAAGCAACGAGACCAUCACCCAGAGGAGGGCUUGCUCCAGGGUAGCCGUGAAGACCUCUCAGCUUCUUGACCCCCAUGAAGGGGGAAAAGAAAUGAAAUGGGGUAAGAGCCAGCCGUGCCUCUGCUGACCUGUCCCUAAGGAGCUGGGAGACCCUUCCUGUGGAGGCAGAGGGCUGGAUCCCAGUCUCCCAGUGCCGAAUCCUUCGGGAUGCCUUCAGGAAGCAGCACGUGGCGUGAUGAGCCAGCCUGGCUCGAGAUGCUCCUUUCUAAAGGUUGCUCCAAGAACCCUGUCCUGGAAGAAACCGUCUCCUUUGAAGCUCGUGCUGCCAUGGGACUCGCUGGCACGUGCCCACCCACGNNNNNNNNNNAAAAGGCAUUCAUCUCCUUCUGCUGCGGGAGAGAGCGGCUGCGGGGAAACAGGUCCAUAAAUCACCUGCAAUGCUUGGAAAUAAAAAUCAUUAUUGUGAUAAAUGGGGGUUUAUUUCUCUUUUAAGAAGAGGGAUCACAAAAGACCAGGGCA